CAUAUGUAUAUAUGUGUGUGUGUGUGUACAUGUGUGUAUAUACACAUAUACAU
This 53-nucleotide microRNA precursor is filed under the name Ovis aries (sheep). RNAcentral's name for it is "miRNA (ENSOARG00000024316.1)". Lineage: Eukaryota; Metazoa; Chordata; Mammalia; Artiodactyla; Bovidae. The record is from RNAcentral.